GCCCAAGAGAUCGGGAUAACACCUGGAAACAGAUGCUAAUACCGGAUAACAACAGAUGAUGCCUAUCAACUGUUUAAAAGAUGGUUCUGCUAUCACUCUUGGAUGGACCUGCGGUGCAUUAGCUAGUUGGUAGGGUAACGGCCUACCAAGGCGAUGAUGCAUAGCCGAGUUGAGAGACUGAUCGGCCACAUUGGGACUGAUACACGGCCCAAACUCCUACGGGAGGCAGCAGUC
RNAcentral lists this ribosomal RNA (234 nucleotides) under uncultured Lactobacillus sp. RNAcentral's name for it is "partial 16S ribosomal RNA". It matches the Rfam family "Bacterial small subunit ribosomal RNA", at positions 128 to 355 of the family's 1533-position model. Lineage: Bacteria; Bacillati; Bacillota; Bacilli; Lactobacillales; Lactobacillaceae. The record is from RNAcentral.